This 543-nucleotide long non-coding RNA is filed under the name Androctonus crassicauda. The record is from RNAcentral. Lineage: Eukaryota; Metazoa; Arthropoda; Arachnida; Scorpiones; Buthidae.
AUUGCAUUAAAAGUACUUGCAUAUCAUUUAACAAGCUUUGAAAGCUAAUCCUGGUGUAAAAUAAAUUUCAUCCAUUACUAAACAUACCACUAAUUCAUGGUCUUACAAAUGAAUUUUUCUGCCUUUCAGAUAACUGAUGUUCUCCUUUAUUGAUGCACUGACUAAAAUUUGCACAUCAAUUUUUUCAAAUUUUGAGGAUGUGGAAGGACAGAAACCAUCUUUCCAUAAUGCACCAUAUGCUAAUGCUGAAUACAUACAUAAGCAUGAAGACGACAGUAUCAUUGUACAAUUUAAUAUCAAUGAGCAUUUUUUGAUACCUUAUACAGUAGUAAUCGUUCAAGAAAUUGUAACUCUUCAGAUGUAGAAUAUUCUUGUGUUUGUUUAAGUGCAGACAUAGUAACAUCGAAUUUGUCAUACUGAACAUUUAUAUCAGUUGCUUCCACAAACUUCAUGAGCACAUUUAAAUUAUUAUAUGAUGUCAAACGUUUGCAUUUUAUUGAUAAUUUAGCAUUGGAAAACAUUGCUGCCAUUAACAUACACUUG